CUUAGGCGUGUGACUGCGUACCUUUUGUAUAAUGGGUCAGCGACUUAUAUUCUGUAGCAAGGUUAACCGAAUAGGGGAGCCGAAGGGAAACCGAGUCUUAACUGGGCGUUAAGUUGCAGGGUAUAGACCCGAAACCCGGUGAUCUAGCCAUGGGCAGGUUGAAGGUUGGGUAACACUAACUGGAGGACCGAACCGACUAAUGUUGAAAAAUUAGCGGAUGACUUGUGGCUGGGGGUGAAAGGCCAAUCAAACCGGGAGAUAGCUGGUUCUCCCCGAAAGCUAUUUAGGUAGCGCCUCGUGAAUUCAUCUCCGGGGGUAGAGCACUGUUUCGGCAAGGGGGUCAUCCCGACUUACCAACCCGAUGCAAACUGCGAAUACCGGAGAAUGUUA
RNAcentral lists this ribosomal RNA (390 nucleotides) under Escherichia coli. RNAcentral describes it as "partial 23S ribosomal RNA". It matches the Rfam family "Bacterial large subunit ribosomal RNA", at positions 584 to 974 of the family's 2925-position model. Lineage: Bacteria; Pseudomonadati; Pseudomonadota; Gammaproteobacteria; Enterobacterales; Enterobacteriaceae. The record is from RNAcentral.